RNAcentral lists this ribosomal RNA (460 nucleotides) under uncultured bacterium. RNAcentral describes it as "partial 16S ribosomal RNA". It matches the Rfam family "Bacterial small subunit ribosomal RNA", at positions 338 to 795 of the family's 1533-position model. The record is from RNAcentral.
CCUACGGGUGGCAGCAGUGAGGAAUAUUGGUCAAUGGGCGCGAGCCUGAACCAGCCACGUAGCGUGAAGGAUGACUGCCCUACGGGUUGUAAACUUCUUUUAUAAAGGAAUAAAGUGAGGCACGUGUGCCUUUUUGUAUGUACUUUAUGAAUAAGGGUCGGCUAACACCGUGCACGCAGCCGCGGUAAUACGGAGGGGACGAGCGUUAGCCGGAUUUAUUGGGUUUAAAGGGAGAGUAGAUGGGUUGGUAAGGCCGUUGUGAAAGUUCGCGGCUCUAACGUAAAAUUGCAAUUGAUACUGUCAGCCUUGAGUACAGUUGAGGUAAGCGGAAUUCGUGGUGUAGCGGUGAAAUGCUUAGAUAUAACGAAGAACUCCGAUUGCGAAGGCAGCUUACUAAACUGCCACUGACAUUGAUGCUCGAAAGUGUGGGUAUCAAACAGGAUUAGAUACCCGUGUAGUC